GGCUAACGAAACCUCUUCCUCUAACGCAGAAAAGUACGAACAUUUCUCCAAAGCACUCUCUUCAAUAAAUCCAUCUCUGCCCUAAACACCGGCCGUCUCCGAGGGUCUCUGAGCGACUGCCGUGGGGGUCAGCGCCGUCUCCCGCCUUCGUUGGCUGCGUGGAGGCGAGCCGGGACGGGUGAGCAGUGCUUGGAGCAGCCUUCUGGUUUAUGAAAGCUGCGUGUGGGAAUGCCUGGGAAGUCAGGAAGGAUGCUGAAAGCAUCUCGGUCUGUGUGCGGUAACAGCAGCCAUCCUUCAUGUGGGAAGGAAAAAAGAGUGGAAGAGCAUAGGUGCUGCGGCAAGAGGACUGGGACACUAAAUUAGAGGAACUCUGUCUGGUGCCUUACCUGCUGAGCAUUUCUGCCCUUCCUGAGCCUCUGCUGCUGACUUCUUACGCGCUGAGAUGGUGCCUCAGUUUUAAGCGGCUGGAAACUUUUUCCAAAGGCAACAGUGCAUCUGCCUCAUCGAUUGGGGAAGCUGAUGCUCUUUGACCAGACCGAAUGGGAGGGAAGCACAACGCCGGUGUUCCCCGCAGUGUUGCUGGCCCCGUGCCUUCCUCUUGCCCCAGCCCCGAGAAAGUAAAUGCCUUCUUGCAAGACCUUAAUUUCAAAUGCAGGGGGAAGAGUAUUUUCCUUGUAUUGUGCUCAUUAUCAGCCCAUCCCAGUUACACUUCAUCAACCAUACUUCAUCUGAGCUUAGGCUGUAAAUUCCUCAGGCCAGGACAGCCUCUCGUACUUAAACCAGGGCUGUAAAUAAAUGGAAAAAUAAACAGCCUUGCAGAGAGAAGCUGUCACUGGUUUUGUGUCGGUGCUGCGUCGGGCACUUGUGGAACGGAAAAGGCUUGGUGCCGUGGGUCAGAUCAACCAUCUCCACCCGGGCAUGGGGAUGUUCAUCUGCUUGUUGCCACCUCGAGGAAGAGGCAGAGCCAGAGGAGCAGCAAGAAUCAGAUCCAGCGUUGCAGAAUCUCAUCAAGAAGAUGGUUUUGCCCGUAGUGGCCACCCACUUCUGGUUGCACGGGAAACACCGACCCAUGGCAUUGCAAUGGGUGAGAAGGGAGACUAGAAGGGCAGGCACCGGCAAUCGGGUAACGUUUCCCUCUCCUAGCCACGGAAAUUAGUGGUGUCUGAGACAUAAAAGGGAAAAAAACCAGAGGGUCUCAUCUUGCUUGCUGUCUGCGGCUUGCCCCGGGCAUGGCAUUCACCUCCACCUCUUGGAGCCUCAGCAGCUGGAUGUCACCUCCGCGUCCCUUUCCCCACCUGGGGCAGGAGCCGGUGGUGCGUUGUACUGCUGUGCGUGAGCAUUGGCCCCGGGAGACACGAUGGGCGCGGAGGAGCAGGAGCAGAAGUCCUCGAAUACGGCAAAGCUGGGCAGCUGCCCGAGACAGCAGUCCUGCUGGAUUUGGUCCGGCGUGAGGAAAAAGACGGUAAAACAAAAGGGGCGCGUUUUUGCCGGUAUCACAACCGUGCUUUUCUCAGGGCCCUCCUCCUCUCGCUCCUGCGUGCUUCGCUGGAAGGAGCUGGCAGGCGACUGACACGCCGCAUCCCGCUCCACGGGACGAGCGUGUCUUAAUUAAUUUCAGGGCUGACUGGACGGAGGGGCGCCCACCCUAACGUCCCCUCCCAGAUUUCCCAGGCGGCAGCUUGCGGUGAAAUUCUCCUUUUCCUUUCAAAUCCAGGGCAGAGCGUGGCUGGGCUCCGGCGGGAGGGCUGGCC
Long non-coding RNA from Grus americana (Whooping crane), 1751 nucleotides. RefSeq lists it as uncharacterized. The record is from RefSeq and is a predicted model, not a curated record. Lineage: Eukaryota; Metazoa; Chordata; Aves; Gruiformes; Gruidae. The transcript is spliced from 6 exons.